AGUGGCGCACGGGUGAGUUUCUCCCGGAUCAUCUACCUUCUGGUGGGGAAUACCCCCGGGAAACUGGGGACAAUACCGCAUAAGCUCGUAAGAGGAAAGCAGCAAUGCGCCGGAAGAGGAGUCCGCGGCUGAUUAGCUAGAUGGUGAGGUAACGGCCCACCAUGGCGAAGAUCGGUAGCCGGCCUGAGAGGGCACACGGCCACACUGGCACUGAAACACGGGCCAGACUCCUACGGGAGGCAGCAGUGGG
This 250-nucleotide ribosomal RNA is filed under the name uncultured Acidobacteriota bacterium. RNAcentral describes it as "uncultured Acidobacteria bacterium partial 16S ribosomal RNA". It matches the Rfam family "Bacterial small subunit ribosomal RNA", at positions 94 to 358 of the family's 1533-position model. The record is from RNAcentral. Lineage: Bacteria; Pseudomonadati; Acidobacteriota.